This is a long non-coding RNA of Lolium perenne, 838 nucleotides long. RefSeq lists it as uncharacterized. NCBI's taxonomy places the organism in Eukaryota, Viridiplantae, Streptophyta, Magnoliopsida, Poales, Poaceae. The record is from RefSeq and is a predicted model, not a curated record.
AAGGCGCUAUCGCCGCCAUCCUUCGCGUCGUCUCGCGUGUUGCCUCUUCGGCUACCUACCCUGUCGAGCUCGUAUCAUUCUCUUAUUGUUGGAAGGAGCUCACCAUCACUAGAGAAGGGAAAGCUCAGGCCGCAUCAUCCCUCUCCCUCUUGCAGAUGAGUUGUUGCUUGCUCCUCUCUCUCAUGGCAGUGCUGCUGCUCUUUUUGUCUCUAAUUUAUGACAAGCCGCUCUUCAUUUUUGUGUGUAUGUGUGUAUUCUGAUGUAGGGAUAUUGUUGCAGGUAAACUGUUCGAUGGUAUGCUUAUGAGGCAUGGAACUGGUCAUCCUCUUGGAUCUUCGGCCACAUCAGUGAGGUUCAGUUUAGAGCCAUUGAUCUAUCAUAAAGCAUGAUGAUAAAGCGGAUUAGUGUUAUUUGGACCAUGGCAUCACCGGUUGCGGGCUCUGACCUUGCCGCCCAUUGAUGGUCAGGUGUUCGAGGGUUUGUAUUUACUCCCAGCUUAUUACAAACAGAAUUGAUCUUCUGUAUUUGUGGAAACUACCAGGUUGCAGGAUUCAAUGCGUGUUGGGUGCCUAUACAAAGUGCAGAUUUCUGUUGGAUUAAUUAUUCUCUUCCAUAUUCUUGGUUCAGAACUAAAUUAGACAUAAACUGAAAUUAUUAUACUUGUCAUGGGCUCCUAACAUUUGACCAAUUGUCCGCCUACUUCCUUGUUCUCAUAUUUCGUUAUUUCAUGUGUAUCCCGGUGAGUAAUAUGGUCCCCUUCCCUAGAUACAUAUUUAUUACUUGAUUGGGUUGCAGUGAAAGAAUUAUUGUGUUGCUCUUAGACACUAAAGAUAUUAUU